Long non-coding RNA from Tarenaya hassleriana, 747 nucleotides. RefSeq lists it as uncharacterized. The transcript has 5 exons. The record is from RefSeq and is a predicted model, not a curated record. NCBI's taxonomy places the organism in Eukaryota, Viridiplantae, Streptophyta, Magnoliopsida, Brassicales, Cleomaceae.
CUCACUCUGAAAUAUUACAUUAAAUACAAAGAAAACCAAUAAUGGUUUCUUCUCCCCCUCAACUUCUUCUCCUUGUUUUGCUUCUCUUCACAACAUUCUCGGACAACCUCUUAGUGUCUUCAGUCCACGAACCCGAGAAAGUGAAGCUUAAUCUCUACUACGAAACACUCUGUCCGUACUGUCGGUCGUUCGUCGUCAACGAUCUCGUAAAGAUCUUCGACACUGAUCUCUACACCAUCUCCAAUCUCAGGCUCGUUCCCUUUGGCAAUGCUGAAAUCCAUGGCUCCUCCUCCAUCUCCUGCCAAAAGAAUGCUAUCUAAAUGCGAUAGAAGCUUGUGCCAUUCACGUCUGGCCGGAGCAGAUGGGAUGGAUAAUUUGGUACGCAGAAAAAACAUUUCAGCUUCAUACGGUGCGUCGAGAGUUCGGCCACACUCGAAGAACAGCCCGAGGCUGCCUGGAGAGGCUGCGCUAACAAAAUCGGCGGCCAGAAACUGAUCGACGAUUGCUACGACAGUGGACUCGCCACGCAGCUUAUGGUUGGAUAUGCAAAGGAGACGAACGGACUGCGACCACCGCAUACGUAUGUGCCUUGGGUCACGGUCGACGGCACUCCUCUUUACGACAAUAGGCGCAACUUUGUGAGUGAAGUGUGCAAAGCAUACGAGGGAACCGAAAUCCCACUGCCGAAGAUUUGCAAUUCCUCUACGUCUGCUCUUCACAAUCUCUAUUCGCUUGAAGCCUGUUUCC